Molecule: ribosomal RNA, 455 nt
Filed under: uncultured organism
Description: bacterial SSU rRNA
Rfam family: Bacterial small subunit ribosomal RNA
Source: RNAcentral
GUGCAGCAGUCGAGAAUUUUUCUCAAUGGGGGCAACCCUGAAGGAGCGACGCCGCGUGGAGGAUGAAGGCUUUCGGGUCGUAAACUCCUGUCAUUUGAGAACAAGUGCCAACACCUAACUACUGUUGGCUUGAUAGUAUCAGAAGAGGAAGGGACGGCUAACUCUGUGCCAGCAGCCGCGGUAAUACAGAGGUCCCAAGCGUUGUUCGGAUUCAUUGGGCGUAAAGGGUGCGUAGGUGGCGCCGUAAGUGGGGUGUGAAAUUCCGGAGCUUAACUCCGAAACUGCAUUCCAUACUGCGGUGCUUGAGGACUGGAGAGGAGACUGGAAUUUACGGUGUAACAGUGAAAUGCGUAGAGAUCGUAAGGAAGACCAGUGGCGAAGGCGGGUCUCUGGACAGUUCCUGACACUGAGGCACGAAGGCCAGGGGAGCGAACGGGAUUAGAUACCCGUGUAGU